Molecule: long non-coding RNA, 687 nt
Filed under: Capsella rubella
Lineage: Eukaryota; Viridiplantae; Streptophyta; Magnoliopsida; Brassicales; Brassicaceae
Description: long non-coding RNA (CRUB_LNC002897)
Source: RNAcentral
UUGGAAUUGUAAAAUCAUGACAGUAAAUGUAAAUCUGUGUGAAACUUACCUGAAAGAAGUAGGACUAAUGAGAACCCGAACCAUCCCGACUUCCGAGCAUCUACCAUCCAGAUAGACCUGCAAAUAUUUCCAUCAGACGCGUAAACACGAAGUCUUUUAAAGCAUAAAAGUUUUGAUAUACGAAGUCUUAAAAGCAUAUAUACACCAUAAACAAAGGAAACAGACCAAAAGCUGUGGAAGAUGAUGACACGACACGCCGUAGAUAUUAAAAACAUUUCUUCAUUCAUUCAUAUUUACACACGCAUACUAUUAUCAUACAUUCUAAUCAUCUGUAUAGUGUAUACACAUCAUCAUCACUAUUUCUCAUUCAAUACAUCCUAUAUUAAUGUCUAGAGAGGAAUCAUUAUAGUGGGUGAGUAUGGAACUGAGUCAAAUUUACCUCAAUCAAAUAAUGGAAACAGAGAAACCAACCAAGCCCUGCACUUGACAAAAUUGUUUGUAUAUAUGCCAUGCCACCUACAAAAUAAAUUCAAUGUUGCAAAUAAUCAAUCAGAUGGAUGAUAAUAAACAAACGACUUGGAAAUUAAUCUCUAUAUAACAACAGAUGAAAAAAUAUGGAAGAAAACAGAAUAUUGAGCUCACCAUAGAUAUAUGUUUGAGAGCAGAGUAGAAGAAUUUGAAGAUCCG